GAUUAAAGCCAAAACCUCCUGGUCAAAGCUUGAUCUUGUCUGAUCUCAGAAGCUAAGCAGGAUUGGGCCUGGUUAGUACAGUUAGACCUUAGGCGAGGCACUUCACCCACGUUGCUUUGUAUG
Molecule: ribosomal RNA, 123 nt
Filed under: Periophthalmus magnuspinnatus
Lineage: Eukaryota; Metazoa; Chordata; Actinopteri; Gobiiformes; Gobiidae
Source: RNAcentral